GAUGAACGCUGGCGGCGUGCCUAAUACAUGCAAGUCGAGCGAACAGACGAGGAGCUUGCUCCUCUGACGUUAGCGGCGGACGGGUGAGUAACACGUGGAUAACCUACCUAUAAGACUGGGAUAACUUCGGGAAACCGGAGCUAAUACCGGAUAAUAUAUUGAACCGCAUGGUUCAAUAGUGAAAGACGGUUUUGCUGUCACUUAUAGAUGGAUCCGCGCCGCAUUAGCUAGUUGGUAAGGUAACGGCUUACCAAGGCGACGAUGCGUAGCCGACCUGAGAGGGUAAACGGAAAAAAAGGAAUAGAGACACGGGGCAGAGUAAUAGGGGAGGCAGAAGUAGGGAAACAACAGAAAUGGGAGAAAGCUGGAAGAAGCAAGGAAGCAAGAGGGAGGAGGGUAUACGAAUAGGAAAAAGUUGUAAAUAGGGAAAAAAAAAUAGGUAAGAAAAAGUGAAGGUCUAAAGGGUACAUAAAAAGAAAGACAAGGCUGACAAAGAG
Molecule: ribosomal RNA, 497 nt
Filed under: uncultured bacterium
Lineage: Bacteria
Description: partial 16S ribosomal RNA
Rfam family: Bacterial small subunit ribosomal RNA (bases 18-377)
Source: RNAcentral